This 277-nucleotide ribosomal RNA is filed under the name uncultured bacterium. RNAcentral describes it as "partial 16S ribosomal RNA". It matches the Rfam family "Bacterial small subunit ribosomal RNA", at positions 524 to 796 of the family's 1533-position model. The record is from RNAcentral.
UACGUAGGUCCCGAGCGUUGUCCGGAUUUAUUGGGCGUAAAGCGAGCGCAGGCGGUUAGAUAAGUCUGAAGUUAAAGGCUGUGGCUUAACCAUAGUACGCUUUGGAAACUGUUUAACUUGAGUGCAAGAGGGGAGAGUGGAAUUCCAUGUGUAGCGGUGAAAUGCGUAGAUAUAUGGAGGAACACCGGUGGCGAAAAGCGGCUCUCUGGCUUGUAACUGACGCUGAGGCUCGAAAGCGUGGGGGAGCAAAACAGGAUUAGAUACCCCCGGGUAGUCC